UUCAGGGUCGUGCGCAAACCGUCAUACCACCACAACUAGAAAGAGGCUGAUGUGCACAAAGGUCAUGGUUUAAGCUCGCCGAGACUCACAUCGAAGCGUUGGUCUCGGCAGGCGGUUAUUCCACACAUACACGUCCGUGUAGCAACAUUUGCGAACAUUCAUUGGCAGAUUACGGGCGACUAUGAUUUGAAUUCCAUUUCUUCACUGCUGAGUUUGCCGCGUCGGAAUAACGGCAUCUUUGGAAUGCCAACGAUGCAGAUUGUUUCGAGACAAGCUGGGGCAGAGAAAUUUGCGAAGACCAUGCCGCUUGGUGGAGGAGAUAGAUGUCCGCGAUGUGACAAGAUAGUGUACUUUGCAGAAGAGCGUCGUGCCCUUGGUCGCAAAUAUCAUGUUGCAUGUCUGAAGUGCAUGCUGUGUGGAAAGUCUCUUGACAGCACCAACUGCAGUGACCAUGAUGGAGAAAUCUUUUGCAACCCCUGCCACCGCAAGCAAUUUGGACCCAAGGGUUAUGGUUUUGCUUCUGGAGCAUCUGGCCUUUCUGUAGAUCUUGGUAAUUCGUAUAACUCAUCUUUGGCCCAAGUUCAAGCUGGAAUUGUUGUAGGGACAAAAGGUAGUGGUGACCUCUGUCCCCGCUGCAAUUGCACGGUGUAUAUGGCAGAAAGAAUAAUUGGUGGUGGAAAGGCUUAUCACAAAUCCUGUUUCCGAUGCGGUGAGUGUUCCAAGUCUCUUGACUCCACCACUCUGUGUCAGCAUGAAAGGGAGAUUUACUGUAAAGCAUGUUAUAGUCGCCUGUUCGGUCCUAAGGGGUAUGGUUUUGCUGGUGGUGCUUCUGGUUUAUCUAUGGACACUGGAAAACUCUAUGAGGUUACAAGAGAAAAUGUAUCUCACCUCGCUCAAGCUCAGGUGCCUCAGAUUGGCAGUGGUGGUGAUGGUAGCAAGGAGACUUGCUCAAGAUGCAGUCAAGCUGUUUAUUUUGCAGAGCGUGUAGCUUCCAUGGGAAAGGUCUAUCACAAAGCUUGCUUUAGAUGCAGCAACUGCAACAAGAGUCUGGACUCCACAACAUUGACUCAGCAUGAAGACAACAUUUACUGCAAAGCUUGCUACAGCAGAAAAUUUGGACCAAAGGGAUUUGGCUUUGGAGCAGCAGUGGUUCACACGCAGUAGUUUUUACAAGUUGAUUUUCUGGAACAGAGAAUAAGGGACACAUAUUAUUAGGACCAACUGUGUACUACCGCUACUAAGUUGCAGAGAACAAAAUGCCUCUUCCUUGCCUGAUGUGAUUUAAUUUUUUUUUUUUUUGUUGGAGGGGGGGAUAGCGUAGUCACUUUGAGCACCAAAUGAUAUGAACAUAAAUAAAAACAAUUGAAAAGAAUCCAAGUUUCUUUUAAAAUUUGUUGGUGGACCACUAUUUUGCCAGAUUUCAUGUUGUAACAAAAUACUCUUUCUGCUUGAUUAUAAAUGUGCAACACAAUAGUCAGAAGAUGGUAUUUUGAGUAUGUUGCUUAUAAGGAGUAGGUUUUUUACCUGGUUCUUUUGCAUUUUAUUCAUAAUUAUGUAAUCAAAAAUAUUGUUACUGAAAGAUACUUUGCGUUUUAUUGUUUAAACUCCAGCAGAUUUUGUAUGUUUACAAGAGCGAUGCAUGAUCUUUUAUAAAUUUUUUUUAAUGUGUACAACGUUUUUAAUGGUUGUAUCAUGACAUUUGUAGUUAAUUCGGAUUAUUCAUAAAGCUGUGCUGGUGGAAGUUAAUUUUGUUUAUCUUGUGAAAAAAAGAUGUCAUAAAGCUUGUUUCUUAGCACUGGGGUUAAGGGGUGAGACCCCUCAUCCCACCAAAAGAAAAAAAUGUUGUCAUAGAUGCAGCACCUUGUAAGACUUUCGCACAUGACCUCACAUCAAUGUAAUUUUUUUUUCAUAUGUAAAGUCUCAUGUUCCUUUAAAAAUAUAAUGCACCUUUGGGUUGUGGUGUCUGCCUAGCUUAUUGAAUAAUGAAUAUUCUUCUUUUCAUUAAAGCAUUAUUUGUCACCUUUUCAAGAUAGUAUUAAUAUUAUCUAUUUAUUAUUAAUACUGCCCAGAAACAUUGUGCUUUUGAAAAAUUAUUUUGAUCAUUAAAUAAAGUUUAUUUUAAUGCUUUUUCAGGAAUUUUCUCCAAAACCUAAGUUGUAACUGUUGAAUUAUUUCAGUGUUGUUUUCCAUUUUCUAUACAUGACAAUUCCACAAGAACUCUGCACUUUUUGAAAUAUUAUCAUUCAGCAACUAAGAAUCAUUUGGUCAUUUUUCUUCAGAUUGUGUGAAAGGGUGAUGUUAGAUUGUAGGAGGGGAGAUCUCUGUGGUUUGGCACUUGCUGGUAAUUUAAGUUGUGUGAUAGAAGUAAAGCUUCAAACGUUUUAAUUUUUCGGUCAAAAUGUAUUUAGUAUACUGUCAUAUCUAGUAAUGACAUAUGUUUUUAUUUCUUAAAAAUUAAUGCAUUUUAAAAAAAAAAGGAAAUUACAUUUUAAAAUGUAAAGCUUUGAAAUUUAUGCAGUUUAUGCAUUACUAUAAAUAUUACUGUGGUGUAGCACUUUUAGCAGGUCUUUCAGAGCAUGCUGUGUCUUCCUAGAACUUUUAUUGUGAAACACUUCGAUGCAGUUCAUAAAAAUUUGGUAUUGUUUCUUGCACUUUUUUGGACUUGGUUUUACAGAACGUUUACUUUUUUGGCAGUGGUAUAUAAGUGCAAAUGAAAGAUGUUAAAUAGGGGCAUGGGUCAGUUUGCUAAGUGGUAAUAAGCAUGCAAGAACUUGAAAACCUAAGCUUCUGUUUGCUAGACUUCUACACAAUGAAGGGCUGCUGCAGUAAAAGUCAUUUUUUCUUA
Molecule: unclassified non-coding RNA, 2845 nt
Filed under: Pomacea canaliculata
Lineage: Eukaryota; Metazoa; Mollusca; Gastropoda; Architaenioglossa; Ampullariidae
Description: cysteine and glycine-rich protein 1-like, transcript variant X2
Source: RNAcentral